Hirundo rustica (Barn swallow) is the source of this 129-nucleotide small nuclear RNA. RefSeq annotates it as U11 spliceosomal RNA. Lineage: Eukaryota; Metazoa; Chordata; Aves; Passeriformes; Hirundinidae. The record is from RefSeq and is a predicted model, not a curated record. The transcript has a single exon.
AAAAAGGGCUUCUGCCGUGCGUGGCACGGGGGGGCUGCGCGCCACCCCUGCGGAAUCGACAUCAAGAGAUUUCGGAAGCACAAUUUUUGCAAGACAGGGCUGCUGGUAACCGCUCGUUCCAGCACCCUC